UGUCAGAGGCUGGAUUUGAACUCAAGAAGAUGAGUCUUCCUGAUUCCAAGCCCAGCUCUCUGUGCACUAUGCCCCCCACUCCAGCUGUCAUUGGCAAAUGCCCCAUUUAUAAACUUCCCUUACUUGGUGAUAAUAAUAGUUCCUAUGUCACUUGUAUUAGAAGCAGCAUGGAAUAGUUGAUAGAAGGCUUGCUUCAGAGACAAGAAGACCUAUGUUCAAAUCCCAUCUCCGAACGACACAUAAGGUUAUAUGGCCUUAGGCAAAUCACUAAACUCUCUGCUCUAGGCAAUUAUCUAAGACGAAGGUGCUGACCUACAUUGAUGGAGGGGAUUUUCCUGUACAGGAGUUUCCUAUGCCUGUGAAAUCACAGGUGCAGUCCUUAUCCCUAUUCACAUAGCUCUUUAUGGAAGUAUUUUUCUCACAACAAUCCCAUGAGGCGCAUUAUGCAAUAUACCUUAUUUAACAGAUAAGGAAAUGGAAUCAGAUUAGUGUUUGAAACUCAGCCCCACAGUUUACUAGUCAUACUCGAGUCAGCAGCUCCAAAAUCUAGGGCCAGGGGAGCUUUGGGAAAUAUGAGUGAAGUGAGAGAAGGACAAGGAGUCACAGCUCAGCUCUCCUGCCCCCCCCACCUCCCGCCACCCCCCCCACAUAAGAAUGCCUUUUGGAGUCCAAGAAGACAGAACACUAUCAAAGGAGGAUCUCCAAGUUCAGGUUGUUUGUUUCAGCAAGGCCAAGUUGAUAGAGGAUACAACGAGAAUCUUGGAACGCCAGGGAAUUUCCUGGGAGGGGAGGGGCUCUUCCCCAGGGCUCAGCACAACAAAUGCCAGGUUUUAACGGAAAGAAUCUGAGAUUUCGGCUCAAAAGAUACAAAAGACCUAGAUUUUAAUGUUGACUCUACUUCUUAGUAAUUACGUAAGUUCAGGCACUUCUCUCUGGCCUCAGUUUUUUCCUUUGUAAAGUGAGGGGAUUGAACCAGACCUCUAAGUGCCUUUACAACUCUGACAUUCUGCGAUGAUGAGAUAUCUAUAAGAUGAGUGAAUUGCUAGGUUGCCAGCCACGUCACAGAGCACCCCCUGGUGGACAAUAGCUGUAAAGGCCAGUUCUCAUUCUCACCAACAAGUCGCUCUGAUGUGGGCUUUCACUUUCUUGGAUCCCAGGAAAAAUGUGCAGUUAACAACAUGGCAGAAGAGAGUUUGGUUAAGAGGAAAGAAACAAAGCAGAAAACCUUGGAUGAACAGCCGCUAAUUCUAUCCCAGACAACCCAAGUGUAACCCUGGAAACCCCCACUGCUGUAUCUCAUUUUUGGUUCAGGAUGAAGAAUAUGGAUGGAGAGGAUGGGAAGGGCUCCCAAAAAAAGAAGCUGAUGCUGUCACUGAACAUAUGCUGACAGAUGUCAUUCCUUCUGUCUAAAGUCUCUAUGACUCAUUGUAGACUGAAGGCCAUACAAGGGCUGUAUCACUUAUGUGUGUGUUUCCAGGGCGUGAUUGCAGAAAUGUGGCUCUGAGGACUUAGAGGCAAGAAGCAGAGACAUUUGGACAAUGACAUUUUCACGAGGAACUUAACCAGCUGAAUGUCUGCAGCCUGUCCAGAGUUUUCUACUAAGGCUUCACCCUUCCCACAAAGGUGGAUCUGCUUCAGCAGUCUCGGCCUCUAAUGACCAUCAUGAGUGCUGGCUUAGACUUCAUUUUAGUAUUUCCUGGCUAACAAAUGAACA
Molecule: non-coding RNA, 1714 nt
Organism: Phascolarctos cinereus (koala)
Lineage: Eukaryota; Metazoa; Chordata; Mammalia; Diprotodontia; Phascolarctidae
Source: RefSeq, a predicted model, not a curated record